Echinops telfairi (small Madagascar hedgehog) is the source of this 162-nucleotide small nuclear RNA. Its record names the gene U1. It matches the Rfam family "U1 spliceosomal RNA". Rfam says of the family: U1 is a small nuclear RNA (snRNA) component of the spliceosome (involved in pre-mRNA splicing). Its 5' end forms complementary base pairs with the 5' splice junction, thus defining the 5' donor site of an intron. There are significant differences in sequence and secondary structure between metazoan and yeast U1 snRNAs, the latter being much longer (568 nucleotides as compared to 164 nucleotides in human). Lineage: Eukaryota; Metazoa; Chordata; Mammalia; Afrosoricida; Tenrecidae. The record is from Ensembl.
CUACUUACCUGCAGGGGAGACACCAUGAUCAUGAAGGUGGUUUUCUCAGGGUGAGGCUCACCCAUUGCGCUCUGAUGUGCUGACCCCUGCGAUUUCCCCAACUGUGGGAAACUCGACUGCACAAUUUGUGAUAGUGGGGGACUGCAUCUGUGCUUUCCCCUG